Molecule: ribosomal RNA, 492 nt
Filed under: uncultured bacterium
Lineage: Bacteria
Description: partial 16S ribosomal RNA
Rfam family: Bacterial small subunit ribosomal RNA
Source: RNAcentral
AGUGAACGCUGGCGGUAGGCCUAACACAUGCAAGUCGAACGGCAGCACAGUAAGAGCUUGCUCUUACGGGUGGCGAGUGGCGGACGGGUGAGGAAUACAUCGGAAUCUACUUUUUCGUGGGGGAUAACGUAGGGAAACUUACGCUAAUACCGCAUACGACCUACGGGUGAAAGCAGGGGAUCUUCGGACCUUGCGCGAUUGAUUGAGCCGAUGUCGGAUUAGCUAGUUGGCGGGGUAAAGGCCCACCAAGGCGACGAUCCGUAGCUGAUCUGAGAGGAUGAUCAGCCACACUGGAACUGAGACACGGUCCAGACUCCUACGGGAGGCAGCAGUGGGGAAUAUUGGACAAUGGGCGCAAGCCUGAUCGAGCCAUGCCGCGUGGGUGAAGAAGGCCUUCGGGUUGUAAAGCCCUUUUGUUGGGAAAGAAAAGCAGCAGGUGAAUACCCCGCUGUUCUGACGGUACCCAAAGAAUAAGCACCGGCUAACUUCGUG